GACGAACGCUGGCGGCGUGCUUAACACAUGCAAGUCGAACGGGCCUUGUCCCCUUUUUUUUUGGGGGUGGGGUUCGUGGCGAACGGGCGAGUAACACGCGCGUAACCUGCCUCCCACCUCUGGAUAACCGCUUGUAAGGGUGGCUAAUUAGGGGUGUUCUGGCCUGCUCGCAUGUGUGGGUUUGGGAAGACUCGACCGGUUUUGGUUGUUUUGGUGGGGGGUGGGCUCGGGGCCUAUCAGCGUGUUGGUGGGGUGAUGGCCGGCCAAGGCAGCGGGGGAUGGCCGGCCUGAGAGAGUGGGCGGUCACACUGAGACUGAGACACGGCCCAGACUCCGACGGGAGGCAGCAGUGGGGAAUAUUGCACGAUGGGCGGAAGGAUGAUGCAGGGACGCCGCGUGAGGGAUGGAUGCCUGCGGGUUGUGAACCUCUUUCGCCAGAGAAGAAGGUCCUGCUCUUUGUGGUGGGGUUGACGGGAGCGUGGUUAAUGAAGCGCCGGCUAACUACGUG
RNAcentral lists this ribosomal RNA (508 nucleotides) under uncultured bacterium. Its description in RNAcentral is "partial 16S ribosomal RNA". It matches the Rfam family "Bacterial small subunit ribosomal RNA", at positions 28 to 507 of the family's 1533-position model. The record is from RNAcentral.